GCAUAUUGAUGAUGAGUUGGUUUAAUCUUUUACUAUGACUUGGUAUGGACUAUUGAGAAUUAAUUAAAAUUACCAACAUGAUUAACCAACCCAUGAAUACCUCAAAGAGUAUGGUUGUUUAGAUAUUUAUUUAGCAUGAACUAAAGACUUUUGUUUAGACCAUCAGAUCAAAUGCCCUCUUAAUAACAAUUCAAGAAAAGAAAAUCAUACUGAAAUAAGAACUUUAUUUUGACCAAGGUUUGUUGUACUGUACCAUAUCGGCAUUUCGACCCGGGCUCAGUACGUUACCGGUGUACUGGGCGAUACAUCAGGGUGUACCGAAUAAUUUUUUAUUUUUUUAUAUUGUAGCAGUGCUACAGUAUAGUACUAUAACACUGUAGCGGUACCGGGCGGUCCGCGUACCGGUAACCUGUCGGACCGGUAUGUACCGCCCGGUACGGGUGGUACGCUUCGGUACGGCAGACCUUGAUUUUGACCCCACUUUUCCCAUAAAAUAUGGUUCAAUCAAAAUCUAUAAUACCUGACUUGUCGGAAUUUUAUGACUUUUUAUUUGUCAAAGUUGACGUGCUAAUGAGAGCAAAUUGGAGAAGAAAAAACAUGCAUGUUCGAGCUUACCUGCAAAAAGGACGAGGAGAAGGAUAACACACGCGAUCUUCGCCCCCAUGAUAAAGAAGGUUAGAAGGUUCCUGUUCACCAAAUUAUACAUUUGAUGGUGACUACACUGUGAAGUUUAUAUAGAGGAGCUUCAUCACCCGUAUCAAUUGAAUUCACCCCCCUUGAUAAAUAAGAUUUGGUAGUGGAUGCCAUAUUUUCUAGCACAUUAAGGGGGUUUAUCAAUACUAUACAACUGAAACAUUUAUAAUUUUCAGGUAUCAAAUCAUGGAAACACCCAAGAAUUCCAUGGAUCAAUUAAACAAACUACAAUGUAUAUAUAUAUAUAUAUAUAUAUACCUAUGCAUGGUUCGUCAUACCGACCCAUACCAUCUGGUAUGGGCGAUAUGUACCGGUUCAAUAGGGGAUCGAUAUGCAUACUAUCUUGUAUUGGGCGGUACUAUAACAUGACCCCAUAUCAGGCGAUACGAGAUAUGUACCAGGUAGUAACAAUCGAAAUCCAAUCGUUACCAACCUAUACCGAUCGGUAGCAAUGAGAUUUCAACCAUUACAAAUCAAGGGCUGAGAUCGCUCUAUUUCAAAUGGUCAAAUUGAUCGUUUGAAUCAUAGUAAAGAGAUUUUAAACCCUUUUCUCCCAUCUCUUUUAACUCAUAUCACUCUCUCAAUCUCUUUAGCUCUCUAAAACUCAUUUUCACUCGCAUCUCUCUCUCAUUCUCAUAUUUUCACUCUCUUAAACUCAACAAGGCUACAAUUUAUGGAUUGAAUCAAAUUUAAAAGGAUUAAGAGGAAGAUUCUCGGUUAGAAUGUGGUGGAAGGUGCUGGACAAAAUCAAGUCAAAUUGCUCGAGGAACUAGAGACACCAAACUGUCAUAAUCAUCCGCCCAACAUGCAAAGGCAAAGGCAAAGUGGAAGGCAGUAGCAUCAAUUGCACCGUUAGAAAGAAUCGAGUCAAGCGACGAAACACCUUCUGAAUCGCAUUUAACAACCUGCUCAGUCUAGAGAAAUGACAACGACGUGAACAGUAGUGCCUUAACCGAUGAUGGCGACGACGUUGGGGAGUCGAUGGUCCUAUCUCCAUAAUUUGAGGGUGGUGCAUGGACCGAGAAGCAGUAUUUUACACAUGCUACCUAAGAUUCAUAUCAUGGAACUCGACGAGGUAUUGGUCAAGUUUAUAUACGGGAAAGGAAGGUAGUGGAUGAUUUUAAGCAGAUACAACAAAACCUAUACCAUGUAGACAUAAAACGAAGCUUAUCGUAUUCACAACCGUCGUAUCAUGGAGAAUGCUCAACAACAAUACGGUGAUAGUUGGUCAUACUUCUCCAAGUAGUAGUACAAUGAUCGAUCUUAUGAUACAGAACAACAGAUCAAUGGCAAAAGUAUAAGUUUUGGCUUUCUUCAUGCUCCACACUAAUACAUGUCAUAAUCGUACUUGUCUUAGGCGCCACCUUAAACACGUGUGAUUCAUGACGAUCAGACUACGACCAUCACUACAUUGAUGCACCAAUGACAUCGAUGUAUCAGUAUAUUAUGUCGUGGGAUCAAUUUCAGGAUUGGGUCCGAUAAACAUAUCAAAUUGAUAUACAGUUACAUAGGAUCGAGAACCUCGAUCCACUGCUCGUGGAGUCUCGCUGUUGUUUCUUUGCGGUAGAAUCAAAUAUAUAUUCAUCGAUCGAUUACUUGAUUCAUUUGAAUCUUAAAGUUUAAGUUAUUAAAAAAAAUAAAAAUUUAAAUUAUUUUUUUGUAAAUAAUUUAGUAUUAAUAAAUAAAAGGGUCUUCCGGAACAUAUCAUAAAGCUAUUUCUCAAAACCUAUAAAAGAUAGGCCACUACUCUUUUCUAAUUUAGAUUAUUUUUACAAAAAUUAUACUAAAAUUAUAUUUAUUUCUAAUGAUGAAAACCCUAAUCUAAUUUUUUUUAAUAUUUUUCAGGUAUUUUUUGAGAUAGUUUUGAUGGUUUUUGGGUGUACUAUUGUUAUGCCCUUACGUACCAUCGAUACACUUUAGUACAUAUCUUAUUGAUGUUUGGUCGGUACACUGGUACAGACUGAGAUUGUAAACCUUAUAUAUAUAUAUAUAUGUAUACAUAUAUAUAUAUGUAUACAUAUGUAUACAUGUAUAUGUAUGUAUAUGUAUAUGUAUAUAUAUAUGUAUAUGUAUUUAUAUAUAUGUAUACUUAUAUAUACACAUACAUAUACAUAUGUAUGUGUAUAUAUGACUUCAGUACAGUGAACCUAAUGGAUGCAUCUAGAAAGAUUCGUAUCAAUAGAUUUAUCUUUAUAUAUAUGCAUAUAUAUAUAUAUAUAUAUAUUUAUAUAUGUAUAUGUAUAUAUGACUUCGGUACAAUGAACCUAGUUGAUGCAUCUAGAAAGAUUCGUAUAUAUAUAUAUAUAUAUAUAUACACACACAUCAUGACUUCGGUACAGUGAACCAUAGUGGAUGCAUCUUGAAAGAUUCAUAUCAAUAGAUUCAUCUUUGUCGAAAUCCGACCGUUACCGAUUUGUACCAAUCAGUAAUAGUCGGAUUUUGACCGUUGCGGAUAAGGGUUGAUAUCGCCCUAUUUCAAACAGUCAAAUUGACCAUUUGAAUCAUAGAAAAGAGAUUUUAAACCCUUUCCUCCCUCCUCUUUCAACUCAUAUUACUCAAUCUCUUUAGCGCUCUAAAAGAUAUGUCACCACUCUUUCCUAAUUUAGAUUAUUUUUGCUAAAAUUAUAGUAAAUUUAUAUUAUUUUUAACUUAAAAAUCAUAAUUAAAUUAUAAUUAUAAUUAUUAUUAACUAUUUUUGGAGCUAUUUUUGAUGGUUUUGGGUGUACUGUCGGUUUGCCAUUGUGUAACAUCGAUACGUCUUGGUACGUACCGUAUGUCGAUACACUAGUACAGUCCAAGAUUGCAUAUGUUGUAUAUAUGUAUAUAUAUAUGUAUAUACAUAUAUGUAUGUAUAUACAUAUCCAUAUAUGUAUGUAUAUAUAUGCAUAUAUAUAUACGACUUCGGUACAGUGAACCUAGUGGAUGCAUGUGAAAAGAUUUGUAUCAAUAAAUUCAUCUUUGUCGAAAUCUGAUCGUUACCAACUUGUGUUGAUAAGUAAUAGACAAGUUUCAAAUGUUACAAAUAAGGGCUGAGAUCGUCCUAUUUCAAACGGUCAAUUUAUAGGAAAGGGAUUUUAAACCCUUUUCUCCCCCCUCUUUUAACUCAUAUCACUCUCUCAAUCUCUUCAGCUCUCUAAAACUCAUUUUUACUCGCAUCUCUCUCUCAAUCUCACAUUUUCAUUCUCCUACACUCAACAAGGCUACGAUUUAUGGAUUGGAUUAAAUUUGGGAUGAUUAAGAAGAAGAUCCCUCUCGGUUAGAAUGUGGUGAAAAGAGCCGGACAAUAUCAAGUCAAAUUGCUCUAGAAAUUAGAGACACCCAACUGUCACAAUCGUUCCCCCGACAUGCAACAACAAAGGUAAAGGGGAAGACAGUAGCAUUAAUCGCACCGUUGGAAAGAAUCGAGUCGAGUGACGAAACACCUUCUCAAUUAUAUUUAACAACCAGCUCAGACCAGAGAUAUGGCAGCGACGUGGGCAGUAGUGUCUUAACCAAUGAUGGCGACGACCUCGAGGAGUCGAUAGUCUAAUCUAUAUAAUUUGAGGGUGGUGCAUGGACCGCAAAAUUGUAUUUUACAUGCCGUCUAAGAUUUAAAUCAUCGAAUUUGACAAGAUAUUGAUUAAGUUUAUACAUGGAAGGGGGAGAGAAAGGCAGUGGAUGAUUUUGAGUAGAUGCGACAGAACUUACACUAUGUAGACACAAAGCGAAAAUUAUCAUAUUCAUAAUCGUCGUAUCAUGGAGAAUCUUUUGACCAGCAACAGUAUGGUGAUGGUCAUGCUUCACCGAGUAAUUGUACGUUGUUCGAUCUUAUGAUACAAAACAACAAAUCAAUAGCAAAAGUAGAAGUUUUGACAUUCUUCAUGCUCCGCACUAAUACAUGUCAUAAUCGUACUUGCCUCUAGAGCCACCUCACACACGUGUGAUUCAUGACGAUCAGACUACGACCAUCACUAUAUUGAUGCACCAAUGGCAUAUGGUGUAUUAUUAUAUUAUGUCGUGAGAUCAAUUUUAGGAUUGGGUCUAACAAAUAUAUCAAAUUGAUAUACAGAUACAUAGGAUCGAGGACCUUGGUCCAUUUCCUAUGGAGUCUCAUUUUUACUUGCAUCUCUCUCUCAUUCUCACAUUUUCAUUCUCCUACACUCAACAAGGCUACGAUUUAUGGGUUGGAUUAAAUUUGGGAUGAUUAAGAAGAAGAUCCCUCUCGGUUAGAAUGUGGCGAAAAGCGUCGGACAACAUCGAGUCAAAUUGCUUUAGAAAUUAGAGACACCCAACUGUCACAAUCGUUCCCCCGACAUGCAAUGACAAAGGUAAAGGGGAAAGCAGUAGCAUCAAUCGCACCGUUGGAAAGAAUCGAGUCGAGUGACGAAACACCUUCUCAAUUAUAUUUAACAACCAGCUCAGACCAGAGAUAUGGCAACGACGUGGGCAAUAGUGUCUUAACCAAUGAUGGCGACGACCUCGGGGAGUCGAUAGUCUAAUCUAUAUAAUUUGAGGGUGGUGCAUGGAUCGCAAAACCGUAUUUUACAUGUCGUCUAAGAUUUAAAUCAUCGAAUUUGACAAGAUAUUGAUUAAGUUUAUACAUGGAAGGGGGAGAGAAAGACAGUGGAUGAUUUUGAGCAGAUGCGACAGAACUUACACUAUGCAGACACAAAGCGAAAAUUAUCAUAUUCAUAAUCGUCGUAUCAUGGAGAAUCGUUUGACCAGCAACAGUAUGGUGAUGGUCAUGCUUCACCGAGCAAUUGUACGUUGUUCGAUCUUAUGAUACAAAACAACAAAUCAAUAGCAAAAGUAGAAGUUUUGACAUUCUUCAUGCUCCGCACUAAUACAUGUCAUAAUCGUACUUGCCUCUGGAGCCACCUCACACACGUGUGAUUCAUGACGAUCAAACUACGACCAUCACUAUAUUGAUGCACCAAUGACAUACGGUGUAUUAGUAUAUUAUGUCGUGAGAUCAAUUUUAGGAUUGGGUCUAACAAAUAUAUCAAAUUGAUAUACAGAUACAUAGGAUCGAGGACCUUGGUCCAUUUCCUAUGGAGUCUCAUUUUUACUCGCAUCUCUCUCUCAUUCUCACAUUUUCAUUCUCCUACACUCAACAAGGCUACGAUUUAUGGAUUGGAUUAAAUUUGGGAUGAUUAAGAAGAAGAUCCCUCUCGAUUAGAAUGUGGCGAAAAGAGUCGGACAACAUCGAGUCAAAUUACUCUAGAAAUUAGAGACACCCAACUGUCACAAUCGUUCCCCCGACAUACAACGACAAAGGUAAAGGGGAAGGCAGUGGCAUCAAUCGCACCGUUGGAAAGAAUCGAGUCGAGUGACGAAACACCUUCUCAAUUAUAUUUAACAACCAGCUCAGUCCAGAGAUAUAGCAGCGACGUGGGCAGUAGUGUCUUAACCAAUGAUGGCGACGACCUCGGGGAGUCGAUAGUCUAAUCUACAUAAUUUGAGGGUGGUGCAUGGACCGCAAAACAGUAUUUUACGUGCCGUCUAAGAUUUAAAUCAUCGAAUUCGACAAGAUAUUGAUUAAGUUUAUACAUGGAAGGGGGAGAGGAAGGCAGUGGAUGAUUUUGAGCAGAUGCGACAGAACUUACACUAUGCAGACACAAAGCGAAACUUAUUAUAUUAAUAGUCGUCGUAUCAUGGAGAAUAUUUUGACCAACAACAGUAUGGUGAUGGUCAUGCUUCACCGAGCAAUUGUACGUUGUUCGAUCUUAUGAUACAAAACAACAAAUCAAUAGCAAAAGUAGAAGUUUUGACAUUCUUCAUACUCCGCACUAAUACAUGUCAUAAUCGUACUUGCCUCAGGAGCCACCUCAGACAUGUGUGAUUCAUGACGAUCAGACUACGACCAUCACUAUAUUGAUGCACCAAUGGCAUACGGUGUAUUAGUAUAUUAUGUCGUGAGAUCAAUUUUAGGAUUGGGUCUAACAAAUAUAUCAAAUUGAUAUACAAAUACAUAGGAUCGAAUACCUUGGUCCAUUUCCUGUGGAGUCUCAUUUUCUUCUCUUGUGGUAGAACUNNNNNNNNNNNNNNNNNNNNCUUUUUACAAAUUGGAUCAAGGUUUUUCUUUCUCUCAUCUACCUGUUUGCUUCUUGUUUUGCCCAUUGACUAUUAGAGGCAUAAGACAUGCAUUCGUUUCAAGUUUUUAGUUGUCUAGAAUUCUAAAUUCAUAUUGAUGUGGCAGGUGUUCAUGAGUUGAAUAGCAUCAAUUCAUAUUGUAAAUUUAUGUUUUUUAUUGAUAAUACUUCUCACAUUGAAGUAUAAAAGAUGAGAGAUCCCCAGGAAUCUCUGAGUUGAUAGGCUUUUUAUUUAUUGAUAACACUUCUGGCAUUGGAAGGACAUGAAACAAAGUGUCUAGAGUCACAACGGACAUUGAAAGGAACAUAUGCAUCGAUUAUUAUCACAAACACCGUCUCCAGUAUAAGUUCUAGUGCAUCCCUCCGCACAAUUUGAAUCGGUACAUGGGCUGUCUAAGACAACUUUGCAGAUACGAUCAGGUUGUUGUGCCUCAACCACAACAUCAGCUGUUGCAAAGGUAAAUGCAUAAGUAAGGCGACCGUUACGUUUUUAUCUAGAUAUUAUAUGCAAUCAAACAGAAGUUUUUAUAUUGUUGAUAAUAGCAUGAGGUAAUACUGUCACAUGAGUUGUUUAAGUUAGGUGACAAUUACAUUUUUAUCUAGAUAUUAUAUGUAAUCAAACAUGAGUUUUUAUAUUGUUGAUAAUAGCAUGAGGUAAUACUAUCACAUGUGUUGUUAAUCUUAUGCUGAAUUCUGUCCUCUCGUUAAGACACCCAAAUAUAUAUCGCACCUAUUUUAGAAACCAUGAAUUAGAAUCACUUUUUGUGGAGUUUGAUGUGGUAGGAGAAAGCUAGGAGAAAAUGCAAUUUUAUUUUUAUUUUUGCACCUUGAUAUGAUGAAGCCAAAUCUCAAGAGAAAAAAAAAAAGGUAGGUUGGUUGAAGCCAAAGAACCUGUACACAAAAAUUGUACCUUUUUUUUUCUUACCCAAUGCAUAUUGAUGAUGAGUUGGUUUAAUCUUUUACUAUGACUUGGUAUUGACUAUUGAGAAUUAAUUAAAAUUACCAACAUGAUUAACCAACCCAUGAAUACCUCAAAGAGUAUGGUUGUUUAGAUAUUUAUUUAGCAUGAACUAAAGACUUUUGUUUAGACCAUCAUAUCAAAUGCCCUCUUAAUAACAAUUCAAGAAAAGAAAAUCAUAUUGAAAUAAGAACUCUAUUUUGACCCCAC
Molecule: long non-coding RNA, 7932 nt
Filed under: Musa acuminata (dwarf banana)
Lineage: Eukaryota; Viridiplantae; Streptophyta; Magnoliopsida; Zingiberales; Musaceae
Description: long non-coding RNA (MACU_LNC006235)
Source: RNAcentral